AUCUUCGGACCUUGCGCUAAUAGAUGAGCCUAAGUCGGAUUAGCUAGUUGGUGGGGUAAAGGCCUACCAAGGCGACGAUCUGUAGCGGGUCUGAGAGGAUGAUCCGCCACACUGGGACUGAGACACGGCCCAGACUCCUACGGGAGGCAGCAGUGGGGAAUAUUGGACAAUGGGCGGAAGCCUGAUCCAGCCAUGCCGCGUGUGUGAAGAAGGCCUUUUGGUUGUAAAGCACUUUAAGCGAGGAGGAGGCUCCUUUAGUUAAUACCUAAAGUGAGUGGACGUUACUCGCAGAAUAAGCACCGGCUAACUCUGUGCCAGCAGCCGCGGUAAUACAGAGGGUGCGAGCGUUAAUCGGAUUUACUGGGCGUAAAGCGUGCGUAGGCGGCUUUUUAAGUCGGAUGUGAAAUCCCUGAGCUUAACUUAGGAAUUGCAUUCGAUACUGGAAAGCUAGAGUAUGGGAGAGGAUGGUAGAAUUCCAGGUGUAGCGGUGAAAUGCGUAGAGAUCUGGAGGANAUACCGAUGGCGAAGGCAGCCAUCUGGCCUAAUACUGACGCUGAGGUACGAAAGCAUGGGGAGCAAACAGGAUUAGAUACCCUGGUAGUCCAUGCCGUAAACGAUGUCUACUAGCCGUUGGGGCCUUUGAGGCUUUAGUGGCGCAGCUAACGCGAUAAGUAGACCGCCUGGGGAGUACGGUCGCAAGACUAAAACUCAAAUGAAUUGACGGGGGCCCGCACAAGCGGUGGAGCAUGUGGUUUAAUUCGAUGCAACGCGAAGAACCUUACCUGGCCUUGACAUACUAAGAACUUUCCAGAGAUGGAUUGGUGCCUUCGGGAACUUAGAUACAGGUGCUGCAUGGCUGUCGUCAGCUCGUGUCGUGAGAUGUUGGGUUAAGUCCCGCAACGAGCGCAACCCUUUUCCUUAUUUGCCAUCGGGUAAUGCCGGGAACUUUAAGGAUACUGCCAGUGACAAACUGGAGGAAGGCGGGGACGACGUCAAGUCAUCAUGGCCCUUACGGCCAGGGCUACACACGUGCUACAAUGGUCGGUACAAAGGGUUGCUACCUCGCGAGAGGAUGCUAAUCUCAAAAAGCCGAUCGUAGUCCGGAUCGCAGUCUGCAACUCGACUGCGUGAAGUCGGAAUCGCUAGUAAUCGCGGAUCAGAAUGCCGCGGUGAAUACGUUCCCGGGCCUUGUACACACCGCCCGUCACACCAUGGGAGUUUGUUGCACCAGAAGUAGGUAGUCUAACCGUAAGGAGGACGCUUACCACGGUGUGGCCGAUGACUGGGGUG
RNAcentral lists this ribosomal RNA (1290 nucleotides) under uncultured Acinetobacter sp. Its description in RNAcentral is "bacterial SSU rRNA". It matches the Rfam family "Bacterial small subunit ribosomal RNA", at positions 208 to 1482 of the family's 1533-position model. The record is from RNAcentral. Lineage: Bacteria; Pseudomonadati; Pseudomonadota; Gammaproteobacteria; Moraxellales; Moraxellaceae.